This 562-nucleotide ribosomal RNA is filed under the name uncultured bacterium. RNAcentral describes it as "bacterial SSU rRNA". It matches the Rfam family "Bacterial small subunit ribosomal RNA", at positions 937 to 1498 of the family's 1533-position model. The record is from RNAcentral.
GCAUGUGGUUUAAUUCGAUGCAACGCGAAGAACCUUACCUGGUCUUGACAUAUCUAGAAUCCUGCAGAGAUGCGGGAGUGCCUUCGGGAAUUAGAAUACAGGUGCUGCAUGGCUGUCGUCAGCUCGUGUCGUGAGAUGUUGGGUUAAGUCCCGCAACGAGCGCAACCCUUGUCCUUAGUUACCAGCGGGUUAAGCCCGGAACUCUAAGGAUACUGCCAGUGACAAACUGGAGGAAGGCGGGGACGACGUCAAGUCAUCAUGGCCCUUACGACCAGGGCUACACACGUGCUACAAUGGUAGGUACAGAGGGCAGCUACACAGCGAUGUGAUGCGAAUCUCAAAAAGCCUAUCGUAGUCCAGAUUGGAGUCUGCAACUCGACUCCAUGAAGUAGGAAUCGCUAGUAAUCGCGGAUCAGAAUGCCGCGGUGAAUACGUUCCCGGGCCUUGUACACACCGCCCGUCACACCAUGGGAGUUGAUUGCACCAGAAGUGGAUAGCUUAACCUUCGGGGAGGCGUUCACCACGGUGUGGUUGAUGACUGGGGUGAAGUCGUAACAAGGUA